AACAACACUAUCAACAAGGCAGGUCCUACAGGCCCUAGUUUCUACCUUCUUAACAACACUAUCAACAAGGCAGGUCCUACAGGCCCUAGUUUCUACCUUCUUAACAACACUAUCAACAAGGCAGGUCCUACAGGCCCUAGUUUCUACCUUCUUAACAACACUAUCAACAAGGCAGGUCCUACAGGUCCUAGUUUCUACCUUCUUAACAACACUAUCAACAAGGCAGGUCCUACAGGCCCUAGUUUCUACCUUCUUAACAACACUAUCAACAAGGCAGGUCCUACAGGCCCUAGUUUCUACCUUCUUAACAACACUAUCAACAAGGCAGGUCCUACAGGCCCUAGUUUCUACCUUCUUAACAACACUAUCAACAAGGCAGGUCCUACAGGCCCUAGUUUCUACCUUCUUAACAACACUAUCAACAAGGCAGGUCCUACAGGUCCUAGUUUCUACCUUCUUAACAACACUAUCAACAAGGCAGGUCCUACAGGCCCUAGUUUCUACCUUCUUAACAACACUAUCAACAAGGCAGGUCCUACAGGUCCUAGUUUCUACCUUCUUAACAGCACUAUCAACAAGGCAGGUCCUACAGGCCCUAGUUUCUACCUUCUUAACAACACUAUCAACAAGGCAGGUCCUACAGGUCCUAGUUUUGUCGCACCUGGACUACUGUUCAGUCGUGUGGUCAGGUUCCACAAAGAGGGAUUUAGGAGAAUUACAGUUGGCUCAGAACAGGGUAGCACGGC
Long non-coding RNA from Oncorhynchus keta (chum salmon), 746 nucleotides. RefSeq lists it as uncharacterized. The transcript has 3 exons. Lineage: Eukaryota; Metazoa; Chordata; Actinopteri; Salmoniformes; Salmonidae. The record is from RefSeq and is a predicted model, not a curated record.